GUGAUGUUGGCCGAGCGGUCUAAGGCGUCGGAUUUAAGCCGGAGAUUAUCCUGCACCCGAUGGGUCACCACCCGCGUGAGUUCGAACCUCACACAUCACA
Papiliotrema laurentii is the source of this 100-nucleotide non-coding RNA. NCBI's taxonomy places the organism in Eukaryota, Fungi, Basidiomycota, Tremellomycetes, Tremellales, Rhynchogastremaceae. The record is from the annotation of a GenBank genome assembly.